AACCCGACCGGCUGAGGAGGGCCGGAGAGGCCUUGGCCAGAGCGAGGGCCCCGGGAGCCCAAAGCCGAGGCUCCGCUCGGAAGACGCCGCCUUCCAGAGCCUGACCUGCGGGAAGAACUUUGCACAGAGGGGCAAGCUGGCCGCCCACGGGCAGAGCCGCCAGGGCCAGGGGAUGCCGUCGCCGUCCUGAGGGCCGCGGGGGGGAGAGGAGAGCGCCGGAGAGGCGGCCGGCCGGAAAAGAAGGCGCCUUGAGAGUGGUCUUGGAAGCCGGAGGCCCGCCUGGCCUGCCUGGGAAAGGAGAAUAGAGGAAAGUGGGGGACGGGCGUCCUUCCCACGGGAACGUGGCUGCCACGGGGAGUCCCCUGGCGCUGUAAGAACUGGAGUCCCAUUGUGCGUGGGGCCGGGGGGGGGUCUCUGGGGAACCAGGCUGGAAAGGACCCUUUCUGCUCCAAAGUCGCCCCUCCUCAUCCCAUUUCAAGCUGGGAUGGUCGGGGGGGGGGCAGCUGUGUAAAUGAACUCUCCUCCCCUCCCCCGUGUAUCCUCCCCUCCCCUCUUCUGGCAGCAAAGUUGUGUUCCUUCAUUUGUUGGUUCCCACCGGUUCCUACGUGGUGUGACGUCCCAGCCGUUUCCCACGGUUGGGGACCAAUGCUUUAAGGGAUGAACGUGCCGAUGUUUCUCUGAGCUUUGUUUAAUGGCUGGGAUAAUUUCCCUGGACGGGCGUCCACCUGGAAAAGCUGCAGGCAUCCCUGUGGCAUCUCGGUCGUCCUUAGAUGGGGGGGGAGCAAAGCAGAGGGGCGUCAAAGGCAUAGGGUGCCCCCUUGGGGCUUUGGGGUGUGAGCGGUCAGAGAGAACUAUUUGUUUGCUUCAUACGAAAUGGUGGGGCCAUUUCUUCUGCUCUUUCUUCACUGCUUCUUGAGGGUUUGAGCCAGCAAAUCAUCAUGCGUUUGAACAGACACAGAGCCACCAAUCCUUGUCCACCUUGAGAAAAAGCCAGUCUGCCCAACAUCCGUUGGUUGGAGAGGUCCUGUUACCUGCAGGGAGUUUGCAGACAAGCAGGACUGCCUUCGCCGGCUGUUGGCACCUGAUGUCCGGGGGGGGGGGAAGAGAGAUGGGGGGGUCUUCCAUGAGGAUGUGCGAUUCCCAAGGGCUGAACCGCUCUGAGGGUUCUCGGAGUCAGUUACUGCGUGAAGCCUGCAGGCUGCGGAGGCAGAAACUGUUGGGGGGAAGCGCCUGCAUGGGCGCCAAGCAAGCUGGAUUUGAGGAAGGGGGUUGAACAGGGAACCGUUUGGCCUGUAAGAGAAUCAGCGUGGCACACCCAGGGCUGCAGGAGAGGCCUAAUCCAGAACCAGCUUUUUACACACAUCUGUGCCCGUUUGCUCCACUGACCCAAGUCAAGUCUUCAGCACCAGUCAUUGUGUUAUUCAGUUUUCCUCCUGGCUAUUCCCUCUCCAGGCGUCGCCUUGUCUGCUGUCCGAUGGGUUUGUCCUUGGCUUCUUUCUGUCUGUUACCAAGCUGGGCAGUUAACAACAUAUUGACCAGAAUCCUGUUUAUGCACCUCUCUGUGUGUAAGGCUGAUAACAUCCUCAGCCUUAUGCAUGUGGUGCUGCAGGAACAGGAUUCUGGCCAUUACACAUGCCAAGUUGCUCAUUUCUAAGGAGAUUUCUUUCUGACUGUCCACAAAUGAUUGGAGGUUUCUGUGAGAGCAGUAGCCCCUCUGCCCCAUCUCUCCAAAGACAGGGAAAAUGAGCCUCUUCCCUUCCUCCGGGGCCCUCUGGGUCUGCAUGAGAGGUGGGAUCACGAGCGUUCUUGGACUGCCACUCCCAGAGUUCCAUAGGCAGUGUGGGUAUGAACCAGGUGAGCCAGCUGCGGUGUUCUGGGAGACGUCGUCCCCGAGGGUGGGGGUUUCUGGGCCAGGGCUCUUUUGGGUCUUCGGAGGCCGUGCUCUGGACCCACGGUGUAGAGAUUCCUGAGGAGGGGCCCAUGGGUGUGCCUCGAUGGGGAGGCUCGCCUUGUGUACGCGCUACGAAGCGGACGUGGCUCUGAUCUGAUUUCCUCCGGUUAUACUCAUAGAAUUAGAAAAGAUUUCUGGUGUGUUGGAAGGAAUGGACGGUGGGUGGGGUGGGGGGAAUAGAGAGUCUAUCUCUUGCCUUUCCAUGAGAUGGGGCCUGCUCAAGUGUCGAGGGACGGGGCCCGCUUGGGCACAGGCAGGGAGGCAGGACCACACAUCAGGCCAGGGCAGCGGGAGACUUACCUGCACGGGAGAGGUGGACCCCCGCAGCCCAGCCCAGCCCAGCCCAGCCUUGCAGACAAGACAGGUCAACCCCAGUAGCCAGCUCUCCUGACUGAACGUUCGCAGGAAGGGUUUCCACGCUGGCUGGGAAAGCGGGAGGCCUCUCCCCUGGGGUCUACUUGGGCGCACAAACGCCUAGCCUCUUGGCUGGCUAGCUGGAAAAGCCCCACCCCACGUGCAGCCCCACGGAUGGCAGAGGAGAGGUGGCGUUCUCCUUCCCUCUUCUGGCAGCCCUUCCGUGGCUGACGUUGCAGAAGAGAACCUCCCACCGCCACGCCACCGCCCUGCUGGCUUCCUUUACGGGAAUUCCUGCUUGCCUUGGAACUUCCCCGUCGUUUGCUUAAUUCAGGGAUGUUCCGCCUUAAUUGGGGCUCCUCAAAGCAGUCCCGGGAGGGCAGGAUCCAGCACCUCGCAGGGCCAAUGGUGGUUUCUGUGAGUGAGGUGGUGGAGGAACCGGGCCAGGGGGCUGCUGGAUCCUCUUAGAUUUCUUCCCACUCUCUUGUCUUCCUUUGGCACCAUGAUCUCUGGGGGGAGGCCCCAGUCUGGGCCUGAUGGGGUUCACAGGCUGGUUCCCCCAAGACUGCCCCUCCUCCCUCCUGCAACUGCUCUCCUGGAGGGGGUGUGACAGCCGCUUGGAUGGAAGAGCUGCAGCUUUAGGGUGAAUGGGAAGCAGCGUUCGUUUGGGGAAAGGGACGGGGUCCGCGGGAGUGGGGAGCACAAUCUUGGUCUUCCCCAUGAGAAUCAGAAGCCCCUCUGUGGAAGACGUCUGGGAUGCUAAGUGUAAUGCUUCAACGAUGCACCUUAUUCCCUUCCCUCUGGCUUGAAUCUCCCUCUUGGUUGAAUAAAAUUGGUCUUCUGCUUUGUUCA
Molecule: non-coding RNA, 3157 nt
Organism: Pogona vitticeps (central bearded dragon)
Lineage: Eukaryota; Metazoa; Chordata; Lepidosauria; Squamata; Agamidae
Source: RefSeq, a predicted model, not a curated record